RNAcentral lists this ribosomal RNA (468 nucleotides) under uncultured bacterium. Its description in RNAcentral is "partial 16S ribosomal RNA". It matches the Rfam family "Bacterial small subunit ribosomal RNA", at positions 28 to 507 of the family's 1533-position model. The record is from RNAcentral.
GAUGAACGCUGGCGGCGUGCUUAAUACAUGCAAGUCGAACGGAAAGGCCCUGCUUUUGUGGGGUGCUCGAGUGGCGAACGGGUGAGUAAAACGUGUGUAACCUGCCCUUGACUUUGGGAUAACUUCAGGAAACUGGGGCUAAUACAGGAUAGGAGCUCCUGCUGCAUGGUGGGGGUUGGAAAGUUUCGGCGGUUGGGGCUGGACUCGCGGCUUAUCAGCUUGUUGGUGGGGUAGUGGCUUACCAAGGCUUUGACGGGUAGCCGGCCUGAGAGGUUGACCGGCCACAUUGGUACUGAGAUACGGCCCAGUCUCGUACGGGAGGCAGCAGGGGGGAAUAUUGCACAAUGGGCGGAAGCCUGAUGCAGCAACGCCGCGUGCGGGAUGACGGCCUUCUGGUUGUAAACCGCUGUCGCCGUUGACGAAGCGUGAGUGACGGUAAUGGGUAAAGAAGCACCGGCUAACUACGUG